This 7810-nucleotide long non-coding RNA is filed under the name Jatropha curcas. RNAcentral's name for it is "long non-coding RNA (JCUR_LNC000491)". Lineage: Eukaryota; Viridiplantae; Streptophyta; Magnoliopsida; Malpighiales; Euphorbiaceae. The record is from RNAcentral.
GUCACUCAAUUUUCUCUUAGUCUCUAAACUAAUCUCUCUCAAAAUGUUACUCCACCAAAAUAUGAGAAACCCAUUGUUCAUGACCAUCACCUUCACAAUAAUUCUUGAAAUAGCCCUACUGCCUAGAAACGCAUUAGGUCAAAAUUGUGGGUUAAUUAAUGGAAUAGCCCUGCUGCCCAGAAACGCAUCAGGUCAAAAUUGUGGGUGUAAAUCAGAUGAAUGUUGUAGCGAAUUUGGGUAUUGUGGGAAGGAUAAAGAGUACUGUGGCCCUGGAUGCCAAUCGGGCCCGUGUUCCCCAACCCAUAGCAGUGGUGUUUCUGUGCCUGAUAUUGUCACUCAAGAUUUCUUUAAUGCUAUAAUUAAUCAAGCUCCAGCAAAUUGUCCUGGCAAGAACUUCUAUUCAAGAAAUUCAUUUCUUGAAGCUCUUAAAUCAUAUUCUAAUUUUGGACAAGUUGGUUCUAGCAAUGAUUCUAAACGUGAGAUUGCAGCUUUUUUCGCGCAUGCCACCGAUGUGACUGGAUGUAAGUUUCUUCAUUUUUCUUUUUCUGCUUUGAAUUUUGCCUACGAUGCAUGGAAACUCCUAGGCAUGAUUGUCUCUGUGUUUCGGAAACGUUUCUCCGCAUCAGUUUUCCUGUAUAAAAUACCGUUUUUUCAUGUAAAAUUGUAUUAUAAACGUGGUUUCCCAUAUCGUUCCUCGUUACAAGUUUCCUCUUUUCGGUUUCGGUGCAACGUAGAAUUAAGAGAAAUUACUGAGAAAAUUAAAUAUACUUAAAAACUUAAAUAAACAAUAAUUUUCACAAGCUACUAAUAUAUUUCAAUAAUAAUAUUAAAAUUAAAUGUCUUAACAUGAUCAUCAUUGUCAUCAUGAUCACAAUCAUAAUCAAUAAUGAAAAAUUAAAUUUUCUAAUAAGAAAGACACCUAGUAAAAUUAAAAAAAGAAAAUAUAUAUAUAUAUAUAUAUAUAUAUAUAUAGUUACAAUAAAUUACAAUAUAUUCCAAUAGCGACAAUUCCAAAAAGCAAUUAUUUAAAGUCAAUGUCUACUAAAUAUGUAAAGAAUUUAGUAUUUAUAAAUCAAAUCAAAUUAGCUAAAUAAUUCAUAAUUACACACAUAUAUUAUUUAAGGGUCGGGUCUACGGGUUUAUCUAAUGAACCCGUAACUUAACCCAAUCCGUGAAUUAUAAAGAUGACUCGUUCAAUCCAAUCCAUUAUAUCUUCAAACCCAUCGAGUUGAGUUGGAUUGGAUUUGACUGCUCGGGUAACAGGUCAUUUACGGCCUUAUCCCCACGUGAAUAGGAAAUUGAAAGCUGCAUUUAAUAAAAUUAAAAAUUGAGUAUAUAAGUGCUAGAUAACAUAAAUGUUUAAAUUUAUAAAUUGUAAACUUAUUAUUAUUUCUUUGGAAAUAAUUGGAAAUUUAUUUAAAGAUCCAAUAAGUUCAUAAAUUCAUUGCAAGUUUUUAAGCUAAAAUUCUUAACUUAUCAUUUUAAGUAGUAGUGUAUUUGAGCAUUUAAUGUUUUAACUUCCAUUUAUUUAAAGUGUUUGAUAGUCUAAGUUUUAUAUUACGGUUUAAAAUUUGAGAUGUCUGACAAAAUGCUAGUAAAAAUCUUGUAACUGCUAAAACAAUUAACAACUAUUAAAAUAAUUAAUUUUGUUAAUUAUCACGACACAAAUAUUGGAAAAUUUAAUUUUAAGUAUUCGUGUUACCAAAUACCGUCUUAAUUAAACUCUAUGUGCAUAAAAUAAACCAAUAAUAAUAUAAUAAUAAAAUUAUAAAUUAUACCUUUCAUUUUCUGAUUUUAAUACUACCACUUAAAAGUCACCAUAAAUACCUAACUUUAUCACUAUAAAUACCUCACUCUACCUCCACCUUCUAUAACAACAACCACAAGAACAAUAGACUUGACUCCCUUAAUUUGUUACUCUUCAAUCCAAAAAUGGCUGUACUUGGAAAAACUGUGCUUGCCAUCAGUCUAUCCAUUGUUAUAAUUGCAACAAUGGAAAAAAACGUUUCAGUGUUUGCUCAAAAUGUGGGAGAUAUUGUUACUGCUGAUUUCUUUAAUGCGAUAAUCAAUCAAGCUGGAGCUGAUUGUCCUGGCAAGAAUUUCUAUACUAGAGAUGCAUUUCUUAAUGCUCUCAAUUCAUUUCCUGACUUUGGUAAGCUUGGAGGUGAUGAUUCCAAGCGUGAGAUUGCUGCUUUUUUUGCUCAUGUUACUCAUGAGACUGGACGUAAGAUCUCUUUCUUUCUUAUUUUUAUUUCUGUAUUUAGAUUUUCCUAGAAAUAUAGAAUUCUAUGCCAACCAAAUACUAGAAUCUUACUUUUUUAAAUCAUUUCUCCGUACGGAGACUUCAUACCUUGAAAGAAUGUGAGUGCCUCUUUUCCUGAAUCUCAGGUGGGAAAUUGAUCUCGCAUUUAGUCAGCAAUUGUCUAAAUUUGAAAAGUUAAUGAACUUCACUUUAUCCUGUCCAUUAAAAGUGUGCUAUAUAUUUAUUAAAUUUGAUUAUUAUUUUAAAAUUAAUAAAUAGUAUACUCAAAUAGAAAUAUCGAAUAUUACCUUUUUAAAUCAUGUCUUGUGUUGGAGCCCCCGAUCUCGAUGGUAUGUGAGUGCUCCUUCUCCUCAGUUCCACAUGAGAAAUUAACCUCCCAUUUAGUCAAUAAUUGAUUAAGUGUAAAGAUAUGUAAAACCACCAAUCGAAACGAAAGAAACGAAAAUCAAACUUACCCAUUUCAUUUUGGUUUGAUUCAGUCAACUGUUCAAAAAAAGAUUUGAUUUAUCAGUCAGUCGAUUUGAAUAGAAUUUGUUGUUUGGUUUGAGGCAAUUUCAUAGAAAUUCAUCGGUUGAGUUUAAAACCAAACCAAUAUGGCAAAAAUCGACCAAAAUCGAUUGAGUUAGUUCUGUCAAAUAUUAAUUUCAGUUCGAUCUGUCAUUAAAGAACUUCAGUUUGCAUUUUUUUUAUCUUAGUUCGAUUCAGUUCAAAUCGAACUGACCAUUUGUUCACCUUUCCUAGGUGUGGAAGUUUAAUGAAGUUCUCUUUAUCCUUGUCUACCAAAAGUAUGCUGCAUAUUUGUAUCCAAUUUGAUUAUUAUUUUAAAAUUAAAAACAAUAUAUUCUAAUUGAUCGUGGAUUAAACAGAACAUUUUGGAUGAUAAAUUUUUCAGAUUUCUGCUACAUAGAAAAGGUAAACGGUGCUUCCCAAAACUACUGCGACGAAUCAUACACACAAUAUCCAUGUGCCCCAGGAAAGAAAUAUUUCAGCCGCGGACCGAUUCAACUAACCUGGAACUACAACUAUGGUGGAGCUGGUCAAAGCCUUAACAUUGACUUGUUAAACUCUCCUGAAACUGUUGCAAAUGAUGCUGUUGUGUCGUUUGAGACAGCUCUCUGGUUUUGGAUGACCAAUGUACGCCCUGUCGUAACGCAAGGUUUCGGAGCCACCAUUAGAGCCAUGAAUGGUGCAAUUGAAUGUAAUAGUGGAAAUCCUCAAGUAGUUCAGGCUCGGAUUGGCUAUUACACUGAUUAUUGCAACAAGAUUGGAGUUGCACCUGGGGAUAAUCUGAGUUGCUAAUUAAAAUUUAGUUCUUGUUUAAUUUAAUAAAUAGGGUUGCUAAAUAAGUAAUGUACUCCUGUAAUUCAUUAUCUAUCCUUGUUUGAGUUGCAGAAAUAAUUAGAAGCUAGUUCAUCCUUGGAGAUUAUGUAAACUAGCUUCAAUGAAAUAAAAUAAUCUUUAUCGUUAUAACUAGUUUAUUUUUUACAUUUUGAAGACCUAAUGAAACGGAAUAACAUUAAUGAUAACUUUUGUACUAAAGAUGACUCAACUCGAGACUUUUCACUUCUCAUAUCUAUUACAAGACGCAGGAAGACCAAUCAAAUAACAACUAUAAUUGACAAUAAUAUUUCACGUUGGGUCUGUUCGACAAAAUUAGCUGUUUUGAUAGCUUUUCAUAAACAUUAAAAACUAAACGUUACAUUAGUUAGCUUUUUAUAAAACGUUACCUUAACAUUUAAAAGUUAGUUUAAAUGCUAUGUUAAUAUUUAAUAUCAGCUUUUUAAAUAGCUUUUAGUGUUUUGACCGGUCAAAACACUAAAGGCUAUUAAAAAGCUAACCAUGUUGAGAUAAUUUAGAGCUUCCAUUAGCUUUUUCUCAUUGCACAAAACAUCAAUUUGGAUUAUAUUGACAAGCAUGUGGGAAGUUUUUUUUUUUUUUUUUUUUUUAUAAAAAAAAAUUGCAAAAUCAGAAAAUCUAACGAAGAAAAGACCUUGGAAUGUUGUGAGGUUUCUUAUUCUUGAAAUGUAUAGGAAAAGGAUCAAACAAGAAUUAGUUUACCUUGACGAUGUUCAAUUGCCGUGGGGAAAAAAAAAAAGACAGAGAAAAAAAGAAAAAUCUUUGCAAUGGGUAAUUUGCUAGUCUUUUCCAAUCUAUCCGUAAAAACCAAACUUGUCUUUUUUCUUGGUUGACACGUGACAUUACAUAUUUAAUUUGACUUAUUGUUAUAUCUUUAGAACAUAAAUUAAAAAAAAAAAAAAAAGAUAGGAUCACUUUUUAUCAGAAUGGUAUUAUCAUAUUUUAUAUAUUAAGUAUAUGAAAUUUAUUAUUAAUUUAGAGUAUAUAUAUGUAUCAUCUAACCUAAUAAUAAGUAGUAAUAAUUUUUGAAUACGUAAAUAGAUUUACUGAUUAAUGACAAUUAAUAGAUCUUACGAUUGAAUUCUCUCAACUAUAAGAGUUUUCUAAUUUGACAUUAAGAAAGAGUCACCGUUCUUAUGUAGUUUAUAGUACUAUUUUGGUCUAUUAAAUCUCUCGAUGAAUAAUGAAAUAUAGUUUGUUUAAUAACAGCUAUAAUAGUAUGAUGGAUUAAUUUUUGCACAUUAUAAUUAGUUAUUUUAAUUUAUUAAAUGUAUGUAAAUUGAAUUAAAUAAUACAUUUCAUCCACACUGGAAAAAAAAUAUAUAUAUUUCCAUUUUACUUAGGCUACAAGAUUCAUAUUUUAAAUUUCUAGGCAUGAAAAUUUUAGUAAUUGAUUGAACUUUAGUGUAACUCAUGAGCAAAUAAUAUUAUUCAUGACAAUUAUAUAUAUAUAUAUAUAUAUAUUCUUAUCUUUUGAUAUUUAAUGAUUUAGACAUUAGACUUUGUAACUCUUUAAUGAUGACUUGCUUACGUUUGGACACAUCAAUCAAACCAAACUUUAACGGUCCCCAAAGACUAUAAAUUUUAAAAUUUAAUUUUUUAAGAUCAAAAAAUUGAAAAUAACGAUUUAAAUUUAUUAUCAGAUUGUAUAUAUAUUUAUUAUUAGAUUAUGUUUUGGUAUAUAAUUAUUUAUUUUAAAUUGAUUCAUAAAACUUAAUUAUUUAUAUAUCACUUAAUAAAAAUCAGUCAAAAAUUUUAUUUGAAUUUUUAUUAUCUUUGAAAAUGGACCUUAAUAAUUGCUUAGACAUGAAAGGUUUCUGAGUCCACACUUUUAAAAUUUUUUUUAAAAAAAAUCUUAUUUUUUUAUUGAUUUAAUUAAUAAAACCACACGUAUACCAGACGUAGGCAAUGAACUUUUAAAAGCAAUUAAUCACUGAAUUAUUAUAAAUUAAUCAUUUAGUAAUACCGUUAGUUUGUGCUUAUAGGUGUUGACGUGGCAUGAAACACGAUGAAAUAUUACAUAAUUUUAUACAUUUUUUGCAUUUUUUUUUAAAAAAAUGGAAAAUCAGACAAUAUAAUGAGCAUUCGUUAAAAGAAUUUGGAAUGUUGUGAGGUUUCCCCUUCUUAAAAUAUAUAGGAAAAGCGAGAAAAUAAUUUAGCGACUGAAUUAAUAAAAAAGAAUAUAAUAAUUUUUAAAAAAGCGAGAAAAUUAAUUAUAUUAUAUAUGAUUGACAAGUGCAUGAUAAUUUUAAAUUUAAUUGAUAAAGCUUAUUUAUAUAGCAUCUAAUAAAAUCUCAAUCAAAAUAAAAUUUACUGAAAAUAAUAAGUAAAAAAUUUUACUUGAAAUUUUUACCAUCUUGAAAUUAGUUUCUUAAUUAUUUGAAAUUCGAGGCAAUGAUACAAUCUUAAAAUUUAUGAUAAAUUUCAGUGAUUAGGAGAGGAAUUGAAAUUAUUAUAACCUAAAAAUAUACAGAAUUAUAGAAUGCAUGAGUAUUACGAGUGGUAAGAUAUAAUUGAAUUAUGGAUAAUUAAGCUAAAACUUUGAAAAUAAAUUUUAACGAGGAAUUGAAUUAAACAAUUUUAUGAUAUAAAAAUUUCAACUUCUAUACUAAUAUUUAAAAAUAUAAUAACUCCUAAAUUUUCAAUUACCAAAUAACAUGAGUACGCAACCACUGGUCUAUGCUCAUGGGUAGUCUUUCAACUUUCGUAACACUAUAAAAUAACCACUGCAUAUCUUAUUGGAAUGCAUCUGUCACUCAAUUUUCUCUUAGUCUCUAAACUAAUCUCUCUCAAAAUGUUACUCCACCAAAAUAUGAGAAACCCAUUGUUCAUGACCAUCACCUUCACAAUAAUUCUUGGAAUAGCCCUACUGCCCAGAAACGCAUUAGGUCAAAAUUGGGGGUGUAAACCAGAUGAAUGUUGUAGCGAAUUUGGGUAUUGUGGGAAGGAUAAAGAGUACUGUGGCCCUGGAUGCCAAUCGGGCCCGUGUUCCCCAACCCCUAGUGAAAAUGGACCUUAAUAAUUGCUUAGACAUGAAAGGUUUCUGAGUCCACACUUUUAAAAUUUUUUUUAAAAAAAAUCUUAUUUUUUUAUUGAUUUAAUUAAUAAAACCACACGUAUACCAGACGUAGGCAAUGAACUUUUAAAAGCAAUUAAUCACUGAAUUAUUAUAAAUUAAUCAUUUAGUAAUACCGUUAGUUUGUGCUUAUAGGUGUUGACGUGGCAUGAAACACGAUGAAAUAUUACAUAAUUUUAUACAUUUUUUGCAUUUUUUUUUAAAAAAAUGGAAAAUCAGACAAUAUAAUGAGCAUUCGUUAAAAGAAUUUGGAAUGUUGUGAGGUUUCCCCUUCUUAAAAUAUAUAGGAAAAGCGAGAAAAUAAUUUAGCGACUGAAUUAAUAAAAAAGAAUAUAAUAAUUUUUAAAAAAGCGAGAAAAUUAAUUAUAUUAUAUAUGAUUGACAAGUGCAUGAUAAUUUUAAAUUUAAUUGAUAAAGCUUAUUUAUAUAGCAUCUAAUAAAAUCUCAAUCAAAAUAAAAUUUACUGAAAAUAAUAAGUAAAAAAUUUUACUUGAAAUUUUUACCAUCUUGAAAUUAGUUUCUUAAUUAUUUGAAAUUCGAGGCAAUGAUACAAUCUUAAAAUUUAUGAUAAAUUUCAGUGAUUAGGAGAGGAAUUGAAAUUAUUAUAACCUAAAAAUAUACAGAAUUAUAGAAUGCAUGAGUAUUACGAGUGGUAAGAUAUAAUUGAAUUAUGGAUAAUUAAGCUAAAACUUUGAAAAUAAAUUUUAACGAGGAAUUGAAUUAAACAAUUUUAUGAUAUAAAAAUUUCAACUUCUAUACUAAUAUUUAAAAAUAUAAUAACUCCUAAAUUUUCAAUUACCAAAUAACAUGAGUACGCAACCACUGGUCUAUGCUCAUGGGUAGUCUUUCAACUUUCGUAACACUAUAAAAUAACCACUGCAUAUCUUAUUGGAAUGCAUCUGUCACUCAAUUUUCUCUUAGUCUCUAAACUAAUCUCUCUCAAAAUGUUACUCCACCAAAAUAUGAGAAACCCAUUGUUCAUGACCAUCACCUUCACAAUAAUUCUUGGAAUAGCCCUACUGCCCAGAAACGCAUUAGGUCAAAAUUGGGGGUGUAAACCAGAUGAAUGUUGUAGCGAAUUUGGGUAUUGUGGGAAGGAUAAAGAGUACUGUGGC